ACUCAAAUGAAUUGACGGGGGCCCGCACAAGCAGUGGAGUAUGUGGUUUAAUUCGACGCAACGCGAAGAACCUUACCAAGGCUUGACAUACAUUUGAAUACAUGGGAAACCAUGUAGUCCUUCGGGACAAAUGAACAGGUGAUGCAUGGUUGUCGUCAGCUCGUGUCGUGAGAUGUUGGGUUAAGUCCCGCAACGAGCGCAACCCUCGUGACUAGUUGCUGCGAAGAGCAGAACUCUAGUCAGACUGCCGUAGUUAAUACGGAGGAAGGUGAGGAUGACGUCAAAUCAUCAUGUCCCUUAUGUCUUGGGCUACACACGUACUACAAUGACUACUACAGAGAGAAGCAAUAUCGCGAGAUGGAGCAAAACUGAUAAAAGUAGUCCUAGUUCGGAUUGCAGGCUGAAACUCGCCUGCAUGAAGCUGGAAUUGCUAGUAAUCACAGGUCAGCAUACUGUGGUGAAUACGUUCCCGGGCCUUGUACACACCGCCCGU
RNAcentral lists this ribosomal RNA (493 nucleotides) under uncultured bacterium. RNAcentral's name for it is "partial 16S ribosomal RNA". It matches the Rfam family "Bacterial small subunit ribosomal RNA", at positions 899 to 1397 of the family's 1533-position model. The record is from RNAcentral.